This 210-nucleotide ribosomal RNA is filed under the name uncultured bacterium. RNAcentral describes it as "partial 16S ribosomal RNA". It matches the Rfam family "Bacterial small subunit ribosomal RNA", at positions 568 to 775 of the family's 1533-position model. The record is from RNAcentral.
CGCGCAGGCGGUCGUUCAAGUCGCGUGUGAAAGCCCCCGGCUCAACUGGGGAGGGUCACGCGAUACUGAUCGACUCGAAGGCAGGAGAGGGUAGUGGAAUUCCCGGUGUAGUGGUGAAAUGCGUAGAUAUCGGGAGGAACACCAGUGGCGAAGGCGACUACCUGGCCUGUUCUUGACGCUGAGGCGCGAAAGCGUAGGGGAGACGAAACG